UUUCUGCAAGUAUUUUGUAUUCUUGACUUCCAAUCAAGCGGGCCACUCGUUGUGGGCAGAGAU
RNAcentral lists this transfer RNA (63 nucleotides) under Histampica haimaensis. RNAcentral's name for it is "Histampica sp. h LQ-2021 tRNA-Gly". Lineage: Eukaryota; Metazoa; Echinodermata; Ophiuroidea; Amphilepidida; Ophiactidae. The record is from RNAcentral.